GAUGAACGCUAGCGGGAGGCCUAAUACAUGCAAGUCGAACGGUAAGGCUCCUUCGGGAGUACACGAGUGGCGGACGGGUGCGUAACGCGUACGAAAUAUACCUUCAACAGGGAGAUACCUCCGGGAAACUGGAAAUAAUACCCCAUAGUAUUAUUGAUUCGCAUGAAUUAANAUUAAAACUUCGGUGGUUGAAGAUUAUCGUGCGUCUGAUUAGUUAGUUGGUGAGGUAAUGGCUCACCAAGACGAUGAUCAGUAGCUGGUCUGAGAGGAUGAUCAGCCACACUGGAACUGAGACACGGUCCAGACUCCUACGGGAGCAGCAGUAGGGAAUAUUGGACAAUGGGCGGAAGCCUGAUCCAGCCAUCCCGCGUGCAGGAAUAAGGCCCUAUGGGUUGUAAACUG
Molecule: ribosomal RNA, 402 nt
Filed under: uncultured bacterium
Lineage: Bacteria
Description: bacterial SSU rRNA
Rfam family: Bacterial small subunit ribosomal RNA
Source: RNAcentral